This 801-nucleotide ribosomal RNA is filed under the name Streptomyces sp. BPSEAC8. RNAcentral's name for it is "bacterial SSU rRNA". It matches the Rfam family "Bacterial small subunit ribosomal RNA", at positions 56 to 873 of the family's 1533-position model. Lineage: Bacteria; Bacillati; Actinomycetota; Actinomycetes; Kitasatosporales; Streptomycetaceae. The record is from RNAcentral.
UGCAGUCGAACGAUGAAGCCCUUCGGGGUGGAUUAGUGGCGAACGGGUGAGUAACACGUGGGCAAUCUGCCCUUCACUCUGGGACAAGCCCUGGAAACGGGGUCUAAUACCGGAUAACACUCUUCCUCGCAUGGGGAGGGGUUAAAAGCUCCGGCGGUGAAGGAUGAGCCCGCGGCCUAUCAGCUUGUUGGUGAGGUAGUGGCUCACCAAGGCGACGACGGGUAGCCGGCCUGAGAGGGCGACCGGCCACACUGGGACUGAGACACGGCCCAGACUCCUACGGGAGGCAGCAGUGGGGAAUAUUGCACAAUGGGCGAAAGCCUGAUGCAGCGACGCCGCGUGAGGGAUGACGGCCUUCGGGUUGUAAACCUCUUUCAGCAGGGAAGAAGCGAAAGUGACGGUACCUGCAGAAGAAGCGCCGGCUAACUACGUGCCAGCAGCCGCGGUAAUACGUAGGGCGCAAGCGUUGUCCGGAAUUAUUGGGCGUAAAGAGCUCGUAGGCGGCUUGUCACGUCGGUUGUGAAAGCCCGGGGCUUAACCCCGGGUCUGCAGUCGAUACGGGCAGGCUAGAGUGUGGUAGGGGAGAUCGGAAUUCCUGGUGUAGCGGUGAAAUGCGCAGAUAUCAGGAGGAACACCGGUGGCGAAGGCGGAUCUCUGGGCCAUUACUGACGCUGAGGAGCGAAAGCGUGGGGAGCGAACAGGAUUAGAUACCCUGGUAGUCCACGCCGUAAACGGUGGGAACUAGGUGUUGGCGACAUUCCACGUCGUCAGUGCCGCACCUAACGCAUUAAGUUCCCCGCC